Molecule: ribosomal RNA, 925 nt
Filed under: Psychrobacter sp. 622S-5
Lineage: Bacteria; Pseudomonadati; Pseudomonadota; Gammaproteobacteria; Moraxellales; Moraxellaceae
Description: bacterial SSU rRNA
Rfam family: Bacterial small subunit ribosomal RNA
Source: RNAcentral
ACACAUGCAAGUCGAGCGGAAACGAUGGGAGCUUGCUCCCAGGCGUCGAGCGGCGGACGGGUGAGUAACACUUAGGAAUCUACCUAGUAGUGGGGGAUAGCUCGGGGAAACUCGAAUUAAUACCGCAUACGUCCUACGGGAGAAAGGGGGCAACUUGUUGCUCUCGCUAUUAGAUGAGCCUAAGUCGGAUUAGCUAGUUGGUGGGGUAAAGGCCUACCAAGGCGACGAUCUGUAGCUGGUCUGAGAGGAUGAUCAGCCACACCGGGACUGAGACACGGCCCGGACUCCUACGGGAGGCAGCAGUGGGGAAUAUUGGACAAUGGGGGAAACCCUGAUCCAGCCAUGCCGCGUGUGUGAAGAAGGCCUUUUGGUUGUAAAGCACUUUAAGCAGUGAAGAAGACCUAACGGUUAAUACCCGUUAGCGAUGACAUUAGCUGCAGAAUAAGCACCGGCUAACUCUGUGCCAGCAGCCGCGGUAAUACAGAGGGUGCAAGCGUUAAUCGGAAUUACUGGGCGUAAAGCGAGCGUAGGUGGCUUGAUAAGUCAGAUGUGAAAUCCCCGGGCUUAACCUGGGAACUGCAUCUGAUACUGUUAAGCUAGAGUAGGUGAGAGGGAAGUAGAAUUCCAGGUGUAGCGGUGAAAUGCGUAGAGAUCUGGAGGAAUACCGAUGGCGAAGGCAGCUUCCUGGCAUCAUACUGACACUGAGGUUCGAAAGCGUGGGUAGCAAACAGGAUUAGAUACCCUGGUAGUCCACGCCGUAAACGAUGUCUACUAGUCGUUGGGUCCCUUGAGGACUUAGUGACGCAGCUAACGCAAUAAGUAGACCGCCUGGGGAGUAUGGCCGCAAGGUUAAAACUCAAAUGAAUUGACGGGGGGCCCGCACAAGCGGUGGAGCAUGUGGUUUAAUUUCGAUGCACGCGAAAGA